This 253-nucleotide ribosomal RNA is filed under the name uncultured bacterium. Its description in RNAcentral is "partial 16S ribosomal RNA". It matches the Rfam family "Bacterial small subunit ribosomal RNA", at positions 524 to 776 of the family's 1533-position model. The record is from RNAcentral.
CACGUAGGCACCAAGCGUUGUCCGGAUUCAUUGGGCGUAAAGGGUGCGUAGGUGGCAGGGUAAGUCGGAUGUGAAAUCCCGGGGCUCAACCUCGGAACUGCAUUCGAUACUGCUUUGCUUGAGUACUGGAGAGGAGAUUGGAAUUUACGGUGUAGCAGUGAAAUGCGUAGAUAUCGUAAGGAAGACCAGUGGCGAAGGCGGAUCUCUGGACAGUUACUGACACUGAGGCACGAAGGCCAGGGGAGCAAACGGG